GAGUUUUAUCCUGGCUCAGGAUGAACGCUAGCGGCAGGCUUAACACAUGCAAGUCGAGGGGUAUUGGUUUUCGGACCAAGAGACCGGCGCACGGGUGCGUAACGCGUAUGCAAUCUACCUUUUACAGAGAGAUACCCCAGAGAAAUUUGGAAUAAUACCUCAUAAUAUUAUUGCUCGGCAUCGAGUGACAAUUAAAGUUUCGGCGGUGAAAGAUGAGCAUGCGUCCCAUUAGCUAGUUGGUAAGGUAACGGCUUACCAAGGCAACGAUGGGUAGGGGUCCUGAGAGGGAGAUCCCCCACACUGGUACUGAGACACGGACCAGACUCCUACGGGAGGCAGCAGUGAGGAAUAUUGGUCAAUGGACGCAAGUCUGAACCAGCCAUGCCGCGUGCAGGAUGACGGUCCUAUGGAUUGUAAACUGCUUUUGUACAGGAAGAAACAGUUCUACGUGUAGAACCUUGACGGUACUGUAAGAAUAAGGAUCGGCUAACUCCGUGCCAGCAGCCGCGGUAAUACGGAGGAUCCAAGCGUUAUCCGGAAUCAUUGGGUUUAAAGGGUCCGUAGGCGGUUUAGUAAGUCAGUGGUGAAAGCCCAUCGCUCAACGGUGGAACGGCCAUUGAUACUGCUAGACUUGAAUUAUUAGGAAGUAACUAGAAUAUGUAGUGUAGCGGUGAAAUGCUUAGAGAUUACAUGGAAUACCAAUUGCGAAGGCAGGUUACUACUAAUGGAUUGACGCUGAUGGACGAAAGCGUGGGUAGCGAACAGGAUUAGAUACCCUGGUAGUCCACGCCGUAAACGAUGGAUACUAUGUGUUGGGCCCAAUGACCCCUGCAGUGGCUAAGCGAAAGUGAUAAGUAUCCCACCUGGGGAGUACGUUCGCAAGAAUGAAACUCAAAGGAAUUGACGGGGGCCCGCACAAGCGGUGGAGCAUGUGGUUUAAUUCGAUGAUACGCGAGGAACCUUACCAAGGCUUAAAUGUAGAUUGACCGGUUUGGAAACAGACUUUUCGCAAGACAAUUUACAAGGUGCUGC
RNAcentral lists this ribosomal RNA (1032 nucleotides) under uncultured bacterium. Its description in RNAcentral is "bacterial SSU rRNA". It matches the Rfam family "Bacterial small subunit ribosomal RNA", at positions 9 to 1044 of the family's 1533-position model. The record is from RNAcentral.